Molecule: ribosomal RNA, 446 nt
Filed under: uncultured bacterium
Lineage: Bacteria
Description: partial 16S ribosomal RNA
Rfam family: Bacterial small subunit ribosomal RNA
Source: RNAcentral
CCUACGGGUGGCAGCAGUCGAGAAUCAUUCACAAUGGGGGAAACCCUGAUGGUGCGACGCCGCGUGGGGGAAUGAAGGUCUUCGGAUUGUAAACUCCUGUCAUGUGGGAGCAAAUUAAAAAGAUAGUACCACAAGAGGAAGAGACGGCUAACUCUGUGCCAGUAGCCGCGGUAAUACAGAGGUCUCAAGCGUUGUUCGGAAUCACUGGGCGUAAAGCGUGCGUAGGCUGUUUCGUAAGUCGUGUGUGAAAGGCGCGGGCUCAACCCGCGGACGGCACAUGAUACUGCGAGACUAGAGUAGUGGAGAGGGAACCGGAAUUCUCGGUGUAGCAGUGAAAUGCGUAGAUAUCGAGAGGAACACUCGUGGCGAAGGCGGGUUCCUGGACAUUAACUGACGCUGAGGCACGAAGGCCAGGGGAGCGAAAGGGAUUAGAUACCCCUGUAGUC